CAGCUACACAGCUCCGUGAGCAGAAGGAGGCGCGUUCAGGCUGCGACACAUCAUUUACAUCUGAAAGGCUUGUAUAAACACAUGUGCUACAAACAGAAACACUGUUUGAAACCCAAACAGAGACAGUGCUUCAGAAUCAAUAUGGAAGUAAGAACCCUACAAACGAAAGGGCAGUAUGUGCAGAUGACCUGCUGCUGAUUGGACCAGGGGAAGGGGUGGAAGUCACUCAAAGCCUGAGAGGCUGCACUAAAGAGGCAUUAACAGGACAUGUGUGAAGAAGUUUAAAAACAUAAAGAACGCUGACUGUG
Betta splendens (Siamese fighting fish) is the source of this 308-nucleotide long non-coding RNA. RefSeq lists it as uncharacterized. The transcript is spliced from 2 exons. The record is from RefSeq and is a predicted model, not a curated record. Lineage: Eukaryota; Metazoa; Chordata; Actinopteri; Anabantiformes; Osphronemidae.